Molecule: long non-coding RNA, 567 nt
Organism: Telopea speciosissima
Lineage: Eukaryota; Viridiplantae; Streptophyta; Magnoliopsida; Proteales; Proteaceae
Exons: 3
Source: RefSeq, a predicted model, not a curated record
CAAAUCUUGGCUUCAGCAACACUCCAUUUGACUUCAUGAAAUACACCAAUGCCUACAUGCUUGUCUAUAUACGUGAAAGUGACAAGGAGAAAAUAAUUUGUAACGUGGAUGAGAAGAACAUAGCUGAUCACCUUAUACUUGUCGUGGAAGAAAGAACAGGAAAAAAGGGAGCACAAGAAAACGGAAAAGGCAGAGAGUCAACUUUAUACAAUCAUAAAGGUUGCACAAAAUGAAGACCUCAAUGAGCAGAAUGGGAGGGAUAUUUAUUUUGAUCUUGUGGAUCAUGAUAAAGUCAGGAGCUUCCGUAUUCAAAAAAAAAUUCCUUUUAUCCUUUUCAAGGAACUGGUUGCUAAAGAGAUUGGCAUUCCAGUGCAGUACCAGCGCUUUUGGCUGUGGGCCAAGCACCAAAACAAUACCUAUCGUCCAAGCAGGCCAUUGACUUGUCAGGAAGAGCAACAAUCUGUAUGUACUUCCAUUGUCAUACCGUAUUUGUUUUAUUAGGUUUCAGCAACUAUAUUUAAAAGUUAUCAUGAAUCUAGCACUGCAUGUAUUGCUUUUUUUUUCUUG